AAAUAUACAAUAUCCUAUACAAAUAUGAGUUCGGCUACUAUACUAUCGAUAGUUCCCAGCGCUUGAUACUAUCGAGUUUUCCGCUGUUAGAUCUGUCCCUCUGACCAUUUCCAUCCAUUAGAUCAUAUUAUUCAACCAACCACCCACUCAACCUUAAGUGACCACUAUCAUCGUAAUCACACAUUCCUUCAUCUAAGGGCUGAAAAUCUACAAGCACUCGAUAGUUUUAAUAGUAUAGUAGCCUAGUUCAUGCAAAUAUAACCUCAAAGAGAAGAAAUACUAAUUGUAGGAUUUACAAUUAAAAAUUAGUUACAGAUGUAGCUUGGCUUUAAAAAAAAUGAGCUAUGAGAAAAUACUCUCUGCUCUUGAAAAUGGUGCACAACUAAAAAAACGAGCGAAUGUAUUAGUAUAUUUUCUACACCACAUGCUUCUUUAAAAUUCUAUAAGAAAAUUUUCUCACAUCUAAAAUUUAGAAUUAUGUUACUAUACUAUAAACAGUAUUAAGCACUUGGUACUGUUAGAUCUUCGGUCUUUGGAUGAAGAGAUGUGUAGUUAGAAUAAUAGUAGUCCCCGGUUAGAAUGAUAGUAGUCUUCUAGGAAUGAGUAGGUAAUUGGUCGAAUAAUAUGAUCUAAUGAGUAGAAAUGGCCAAAGAGAUAAAUCUAAUGGUGGCAAACUCAAUAGCACCAAGCGCUGGCACUGUCGAUAAUAUAGUAGCCGAACACCUAAAAUUUAACAUAUUGAAUUAUGUUAUGUUAUAUUUAAAGCGUAUAAUUCGUGAAAAUCAUAAAUUUUGAACAUUUAUUUUUCUUACAAUAUUAAAU
Molecule: long non-coding RNA, 822 nt
Filed under: Ananas comosus (pineapple)
Lineage: Eukaryota; Viridiplantae; Streptophyta; Magnoliopsida; Poales; Bromeliaceae
Description: long non-coding RNA (ACOM_LNC008650)
Source: RNAcentral